Molecule: ribosomal RNA, 301 nt
Filed under: uncultured bacterium
Lineage: Bacteria
Description: partial 16S ribosomal RNA
Rfam family: Bacterial small subunit ribosomal RNA
Source: RNAcentral
CAGUCGCCGCGGUAAUACGGAGGGUGCAAGCGUUAUCCGGAUUUAUUGGGUUUAAAGGGUCCGUAGGCGGAUCUGUAAGUCAGUGGUGAAAUCUCACAGCUUAACUGUGAAACUGCCAUUGAUACUGCAGGUCUUGAGUAAAUUUGAAGUGGCUGGAAUAAGUAGUGUAGCGGUGAAAUGCAUAGAUAUUACUUAGAACACCAAUUGCGAAGGCAGGUCACUAAGAUUUAACUGACGCUGAUGGACGAAAGCGUGGGGAGCGAACAGGAUUAGAUACCCCAGUAGUCCCUGUCUCUUAUCA